GGGGGGGGCAAGCGUUGUUCGGAAUUACUGGGCGUAAAGGGCUCGUAGGCGGCCAACUAAGUCAGACGUGAAAUCCCUCGGCUUAACCGGGGAACUGCGUCUGAUACUGGAUGGCUUGAGAUUGGGAGAGGGAUGCGGAAUUCCAGGUGUAGCGGUGAAAUGCGUAGAUAUCUGGAGGAACACCGGUGGCGAAGGCGACAUCCUGGACCAAUACUGACGCUGAGGAGCGAAAGCCAGGGGAGCAAACGGGAUUAGAUACCCCGGUAGUCCUGGCCCUAAACGAUGAAUGCUUGGUGUGGCGGGUAUCGAUCCCUGCCGUGCCGAAGCUAACGCAUUAAGCAUUCCGCCUGGGGAGUACGGUCGCAAGGCUG
Molecule: ribosomal RNA, 371 nt
Filed under: uncultured bacterium
Lineage: Bacteria
Description: bacterial SSU rRNA
Rfam family: Bacterial small subunit ribosomal RNA
Source: RNAcentral